Molecule: ribosomal RNA, 1441 nt
Filed under: uncultured organism
Description: SSU rRNA
Rfam family: Bacterial small subunit ribosomal RNA
Source: RNAcentral
GCUAUCUACAGGCUUAACACAUGCAAGUCGAGGGGCAGCAUGGUCUUAGCUUGCUAAGGCCGAUGGCGACCGGCGCACGGGUGAGUAACGCGUAUCCAACCUGCCUUACACUCUUGGACAGCCUUCUGAAAGGGAGAUUAAUACAAGAUGUUAUCAUGAGUAAGCAUUUUCACAUGAUUAAAGGUUUACCGGUGUAAGAUGGGGAUGCGUUCCAUUAGAUAGUAGGCGGGGUAACGGCCCACCUAGUCUUCGAUGGAUAGGGGUUCUGAGAGGAAGGUCCCCCACAUUGGAACUGAGACACGGUCCAAACUCCUACGGGAGGCAGCAGUGAGGAAUAUUGGUCAAUGGACGAGAGUCUGAACCAGCCAAGUAGCGUGAAGGAUGAAGGUUCUAUGGAUUGUAAACUUCUUUUAUACGGGAAUAAACGAAUCCACGUGUGGAUUUUUGCAUGUACCGUAUGAAUAAGGAUCGGCUAACUCCGUGCCAGCAGCCGCGGUAAUACGGAGGAUCCGAGCGUUAUCCGGAUUUAUUGGGUUUAAAGGGAGCGUAGAUGGGUUGUUAAGUCAGUUGUGAAAGUUUGCGGCUCAACCGUAAAAUUGCAAUUGAUACUGGCAGUCUUGAGUACAGUUGAGGUAGGCGGAAUUCGUGGUGUAGCAGUGAAAUGCUUAGAUAUCACGAAGAACUCCGAUUGCGAAGGCAGCUUACUAACCUGUAACUGACAUUGAUGCUCGAAAGUGUGGGUAUCAAACAGGAUUAGAUACCCUGGUAGUCCACACGGUAAACGAUGAAUACUCGCUGUAGGCGAUAUACAGUCUGCGGCCAAGCGAAAGCAUUAAGUAUUCCACCUGGGGAGUACGCCGGCAACGGUGAAACUCAAAGGAAUUGACGGGGGCCCGCACAAGCGGAGGAACAUGUGGUUUAAUUCGAUGAUACGCGAGGAACCUUACCCGGGCUUAAAUUGCAACCGAAUAUGGCGGAAACGCUAUAGCUAGCAAUAGCGGUUGUGAAGGUGCUGCAUGGUUGUCGUCAGCUCGUGCCGUGAGGUGUCGGCUUAAGUGCCAUAACGAGCGCAACCCUUGCCGAUAGUUACUAACAGGUCAUGCUGAGGACUCUGUCGGGACUGCCAUCGUAAGAUGUGAGGAAGGUGGGGAUGACGUCAAAUCAGCACGGCCCUUACGUCCGGGGCUACACACGUGUUACAAUGGGGGGUACGGAGGGCUGCUACCACGCAAGUGGAUGCCAAUCCCAAAAACCUCUCUCAGUUCGGAUUGAAGUCUGCAACCCGACUUCAUGAAGCUGGAUUCGCUAGUAAUCGCGCAUCAGCCACGGCGCGGUGAAUACGUUCCCGGGCCUUGUACACACCGCCCGUCAAGCCAUGGGAGCCGGGGGUACCUGAAGUGCGUAACCGCAAGGAGCGCCCUAGGGUAAAACUGGUGACUGG